CCACAGGGAUUGCCCCAGUAACGGCGAGUGAAGCGGCAACAGCUCAAAUUUGAAAUCUGGCCCCCCGGGUCCGAGUUGUAAUUUGCAGAGGAUGCUUCGGGCGCGGCGCCUUCCAAGUCCCCUGGAACGGGGCGCCACAGAGGGUGAGAGCCCCGUCGGGUCGGCCGCCAAGCCUGUGUGAAGCUCCUUCGACGAGUCGAGUAGUUUGGGAAUGCUGCUCUAAAUGGGAGGUAGACCCCUUCUAAAGCUAAAUACCGGCCAGAGACCGAUAGCGCACAAGUAGAGUGAUCGAAAGAUGAAAAGCACUUUGAAAAGAGGGUUAAACAGUACGUGAAAUUGUUGAAAGGGAAGCGCUUGCGACCAGACGUGCGCCGGGCGCUCAGCGGGCGUUCUCGCCCGUGCAUUCGCCCCGGCGCAGGCCAGCGUCGGUUCGGGAGGGGGGACAAAGGCGCCGGGAACGUGGCUCCCGCGGGAGUGUUACAGCCCGGCGCGCCAUGCCCCCGCCCGGACCGAGGUUCGCGCUCCGCAAGGACGCUGGCGUAAUGGUCCCCAGCGGCCCGUCUUGAAACACGGACCAAGGAGUCGAGGUUUUGCGCGAGUGUUUGGGUGCCAAACCCGCACGCGCAAUGAAAGUGAACGCAGGUGGGAGCUUCGGCGCACCACCGACCGAUCCUGAUGUUCUCGGAUGGAUUUGAGUAGGAGCGCAGGGCCUCGGACCCGAAAGAUGGUGAACUAUACUUGGAUAGGGUGAAGCCAGAGGAAACUCUGGUGGAGGCUCGCAGCGGUUCUGACGUGCAAAUCGAUCGUCAAAUCUGAGUAUGGGGGCGAAAGACUAAUCGA
This 840-nucleotide ribosomal RNA is filed under the name Pseudolachnella tengii. Its description in RNAcentral is "Pseudolachnella sp. YD-2021b partial large subunit ribosomal RNA". It matches the Rfam family "Eukaryotic large subunit ribosomal RNA", at positions 66 to 938 of the family's 3401-position model. The record is from RNAcentral. Lineage: Eukaryota; Fungi; Ascomycota; Sordariomycetes; Chaetosphaeriales; Chaetosphaeriaceae.